RNAcentral lists this ribosomal RNA (478 nucleotides) under uncultured bacterium. RNAcentral describes it as "partial 16S ribosomal RNA". It matches the Rfam family "Bacterial small subunit ribosomal RNA", at positions 28 to 507 of the family's 1533-position model. The record is from RNAcentral.
GAUGAACGCUGGCGGCGUGCUUAACACAUGCAAGUCGAACGAGAAGUGAAGACGGAAACCUUCGGGCGGAAGGCUUUAUUUCGAGUGGCGGACGGGUGAGUAACGCGUGGGUAACCUGCCUCAUACAGGGGGAUAACAGUUGGAAACGACUGUUAAUACCGCAUAAGACCACAGCACCGCAUGGUGCGGGGGUAAAAACUCCGGUGGUAUGAGAUGGACCCGCGUUCGAUUAGCCAGCUGGCGGGGUAACGGCCCACCAAAGCGACGAUCGAUAGCCGAUCUGAGAGGCUGACCGGACACAUUGGGACUGAGACACGGCCCAGACUCCUACGGGAGGCAGCAGUGGGGAAUAUUGCACAAUGGGGGAAACCCUGAUGCAGCGACGCCGCGUGAGUGAAGAAGUAUUUCGGGAUGUAAAGCUCUAUCAGCAGGGAAGAAAAUGACGGUACCUGAGUAAGAAGCCCCGGCUAACUACGUG